GAAUAUUGGACAAUGGGCGAAAGCCUGAUCCAGCCAUGCCGCGUGUGUGAAGAAGGUCUUCGGAUUGUAAAGCACUUAAAGUUGGGAGGAAGGGCAGUAAGCGAAUACCUUGCUGUUUUUACGUGACCGACAGAAUAAUCACCGGCUAACUCUGUUCCCUCAGCCGCUGUAAGACAGAGGGUGCAAGCGUUAAUCGGAAUGACUGUGCGUAAAGCGCGCGUAGGUGGUUCGUUAAGUUGGAUGUGAAAUCCCCGGGCUCAACCUGGGAACUGCAUCCAAAACUGGCGAGCUAGAGUAGGGCAGAGGGUGGUGGAAUUUCCUGCGUAGCGGUGAAAUGCGUAGAUAUAGGAAGGAACACCAGUGGCGAAGGCGACCACCUGGGCUCAUACUGACACUGAGGUGCGAAAGCGUGGGGAGCAAACA
RNAcentral lists this ribosomal RNA (423 nucleotides) under uncultured bacterium. Its description in RNAcentral is "partial 16S ribosomal RNA". It matches the Rfam family "Bacterial small subunit ribosomal RNA", at positions 359 to 774 of the family's 1533-position model. The record is from RNAcentral.